This 107-nucleotide microRNA precursor is filed under the name Olea europaea subsp. europaea. Lineage: Eukaryota; Viridiplantae; Streptophyta; Magnoliopsida; Lamiales; Oleaceae. The record is from RNAcentral.
GCUGUCAAAUUAGCCAGGAUGACUGCCUGAAACCAAGCAAAGGAUCACAUAAUAUGGAUCCUCUGAGUAGAGCAGGCAAGUCAUCCUUGGCUACCAAACAACACUCU